GCUCGCAUGCAAAGAUGUAUCUUUGUAUGCGGACUUUCUAAUAAGCCCGCAUGCAAAGAUCUAUCUUUGCAUGCGGGC
RNAcentral lists this microRNA precursor (78 nucleotides) under Leersia perrieri. Its description in RNAcentral is "pre miRNA mir-2973". The record is from RNAcentral. Lineage: Eukaryota; Viridiplantae; Streptophyta; Magnoliopsida; Poales; Poaceae.